This 5481-nucleotide long non-coding RNA is filed under the name Phoenix dactylifera (date palm). Its description in RNAcentral is "long non-coding RNA (PDAC_LNC004093)". Lineage: Eukaryota; Viridiplantae; Streptophyta; Magnoliopsida; Arecales; Arecaceae. The record is from RNAcentral.
GGUAAAAUUUGGUGUCAAUCUUGUAUCAGUCCUGACCUGGUUGGGAUUUUGUCAAUAUGGGUUCUGUUUUGUAUUAUUUAUGUUGGUUUUCUAGUUUGUGCACUGAACCUUUAUUUGUUGUUAUGCAGACUGAAGGAUUUAACUACUUGGAGGAGACGUGCCCCUCGCUACUUUCAGACCUGUUGGCAACUGUCGCUGAGGCAGAUGAUGAGCCCAGUCUGAUCUGCCGGAAGAGGAGCAGCAGCAGCAACAUAGGGCUUAAUUUAGCUGACAGUGUUGAUCUGAACGGGGGAAGGCGCACGCGGAGGCAGAUGUAACUUGCAACUGAUUAUAACCCUGUCCAUAGUCUUGUAAAUCUUGCUGCCUUUUGCACCACAAGACUCAUGUGACUGUUCUGAUAUGUACAUUUGUGUGACGCAGCAUUCCUGAUUAAAUUUGAUUUGGAUUUUAGUGACAUAUCAAUAAUUAGCCUAUCAUAAUUAAAUCGACAUAUAUGUUGGUGAAUCAAGCAAAACUUUUGAGUAUCUUAGUUCUUCUGUCUAUAAAUUUGUUGUCUGUUCAAUAUCUUUUCUUUGUUUAAUGCUGAGUUUUACAGAUUUAUUAUGGCUAUUUGCUGUUAGGGGUUACAAGCGUUUUUACAGAAGGACAGCAUUGGAAACAUCACAUUACCUUAAGGAUGAUUGUCUAGUCAUGCAUUGCACAGUGGGUGUUGUUAGAAAUCGCAUUGAAACAGCAAGGCAAUUUUCUAUUCCUGUGCCACCACCGGACAUGGGUAAGUGUCUUAAGGAGCUGUUGGAAUCUGGCAUGGGCUCUGACAUUGUUUUCGAGGUUGGUGAUGAGACAUUCAAAGCUCAUAAGAAGAUUCUUGCUGCUCGCUCGCCUGUAUUUAAUGCCCAAUUCUUUGGGCUAAUUGGGGAUCCAAAGAUGGAUAGAGUGGUUGUGGAAGAUGUUGAACCUCCUGUUUUCAAGGUAAUGUUCAUGCAGCUUUUGAUUUUACCAUUUAUAUUUGUGCAUGUAUAAAUAUAUUAUAUGACAGUAAGUUUGGCCUGUUUGCUAAAGGAAGAUUAUUUUUACUCAUUUUUACUGUAUGGAAAAUAUAUCUGCUAAGUUUUGUAAGAUACAUCUAAAAUUCUUUCUUUCUCCAAGCCGAGUCAUGAUUUGGAUGUAUUUUAUUAUCUGAAGAUUGUGUGAAAUGUCAUGUUAUGUUUAAUAAUCUUUGUGGAUUCUUAAGUACCCAUAACCAUCAUCCCACAUAUUUUAGGCUAACCCUUCUUCACCAUUGGUUUCUAUAGGUUCAACAUCCUUUGCAAUUUAGAUUAUUUGAAAAUCCUCCUCACAAUUUCUAGCCAGGUAUUCUUGUGUUGUUUCUUGGAUUAUCGACUCUUCCAAACUUAGAAUGACAGAAUGCCCCUCUCUUUCCCGAGGUGAUAAUAUUAGAAUAUAUUAUUGUAGCUUUUACUUAACGAUUUUUUUUCUAGAUUGUCGCCUUCUGGUAGGUGAUAUAGUUAGUUCAAAUUUGCUAAAGUGUCUCUAGACAUCCUGGAUCUAUAACAAUAAAUUAUUGUUAUAUUAUCUCAUUCUCAUUUUUUUUUAAUUUUCAAAAUUUGAGCGGACCAUAGGAGUUUAGAUGAUAUUAGAAUAUAUUAUUGUAGUUUUUAUUAAUGAUUUUUCUCAGGUUGUGGCCUUUUGGUUAGUGAUAUAGCUCGUUUAAAUGUGCUAAAAUGUCUCCGGACUACUGGAUCUGUGAAAAUAAAUUAUUGUUGUAUCAUGCCAUUCUCAUUUUUUUGCUAUCUUUUGAUCAUCAGUUUCAUCGUCAAUGCCUGGAGUUUCAUUGCAGCACGGACACGCCUAAUCAUAAUUCUAUCUUCUUUGAGAUUUGAUAAUAUGUUAAUUAGAGUUUGAACGAAAGUGCUGAUCUGAUCUAAAAAUCUAUUUGCAGUUUGGUAUAAUGGAGCCUUUGCCAGUCUUUAGUGCAUGUGCUUUUCUUUGUAUCAUCAUAGUGAGCUCUCAUAACAAACAUUUCAAACAAAUACUCCUCUGCUACAAUGUAUUAUCUGAACGAUGACAAUGAAGAUGAUCAAGCAUCUUCUUUUGUUUGACCUAUCUUCUUUUUCUUCGAAAUAGAACAUAUAUUCUAAUCUAUUGGAAAUUGUCCGAAUUAUUAUGGAAAACAUAUAAAAUUAGUUACUCAUAACAUAAUUUGGAGCUUAUUAAAAAAAUAAUGGCCUUAACAGAAGAUUUUAGCUGCACGCACACAUGUCCUCAUGUGCAUAUAUAUAGCUAGCAGGCACGCCAGGAGAUGUGUAUACUAAUUCCUCUUGUGACAAGUUCUUUGUUUGCUGCAGGCCAUGCUUCUAUUCAUAUACUCAGAUGGAUUUCCAGAUGUUCAUGAACUGACUGGAUCAGUUUCUCUGUGCACAUCCACAAUACUGGUGCAGCAUCUAUUGGCAGCAGCUGAUAGAUAUGGUCUAGAUCGAUUGAGGAAGUUAUGUGAAUCAAAGUUGUGUGAAGAACUGACUGCUGAUACUGUAGCAGCGACUCUGGCCCUUGCAGAGCAACACCAGUGUUCUCACUUAAAAUCCGUCUGCCUAAAAUUUACAGCUGCUCGAGAGAACUUGGGAGGUCAGUUUUAUCAUCUCUAGGUUGGGUGCAUUUUUUUCCAGUUUGCAAUGGUUCUAGCCGCACCCCCCCCCCCCCCCCCCCUCCGCGCGAAAAAGAAAAUACGUAUAAUUGUCUAAGAGUAUAGGUUUAUUUUUAUUUUAUUAUCUUCACACACACCUAUCACAUCGAGCAAUUUUGUAACAUGCCCUGGAUGUCUGCACUUAAUUUGUUUAUGAAAUCUGUGAAAGAAUUUUAAGAUUUCUGGUGACAAUAAUUGUUUUGCCAUGGGAAAUACUUAAGUUGUAUUUGUAUUUCUAUCACAUUGGCAUGGGCAUGGAACAAGUUUUAAUUUUGGGAAACUGUUUUAUUGGAUGGAUGGAUCUAUGUUGGUGCAAUAGGAUUAGAAAAUGCAUCAUGGAAUGUUCAUCCAUAUUACUCAGGGUUGUAGUUUAUUGGAUUAGUCUUAGGACCUCAAGUGAACAAGGAGUACUUUAGACUGCUGGAAAAUGUUUCCAAGUGAAGAUCACUAGGAAGUUAACUAAAAGAUCAAGUAGUUUGAAAAUGGUUAGGUGAAGGAUCCAAUUUAGAUGGGAAAGGUAGUUAACCACUCCUGGUGGAGGGUAUAGGCCUCUUGGUUAGUUUAUGUCUUAUGAAAAAGCAAAAAACACAAGAACUGGUAGAUUAUAAAUGUCAGUUAAAGGUGAAUCAGGAAGAUAUCGAAUUACAUUUUGGGAAAUGAUAUUAAAAAUUUGUUAUACUGCCCUUUUUUGUUGGUUUUCAUGAAAAUUUAAGAUAUAUCAGAUGCCAAUCUCACAUGGAUAAUCUAUGUGCUGAUUUUAUCUGUUAUCAUUGUUGAAGUCUAUCUUGUGAGUAAAGUCUGGCAUGUGCUCCUCUUUUGUUCAAAGAAUGUGCCUAGCAAAUCACCAUAGGAAACCAACCGUUCAGUCGUCAUGUUUAUUCUCUUCAAAUUGCAGCAAGUAGGGAUACUAGUGGAACAUAAAGAAGGCCUGUUUAGAAAUUAUGCGGACAGAGUUCGAUAAAGUUGGAUUAAUUGAAGAGGUGAUUAUGUUUUCCGUCUAUUAGGGAUCACAUCUAUACUCUACUACCACUCCAUCAGUUAAUUAUGAUGAGCACCCAUUUUAUACCAAAAGGAAAUGAAGAAGGGAAGGUAAAAAGAAAAAAGAGGAAAUCCAACAAUAUGUAUUCUACUUUUCACAUGCUCAUGUAGCAAUCAAUCUUUGCAAACAGUGUCAUAAUUUGAUUCAGAAGACCAACUAGAACAUUUUGACGAUGACUUUUUUUUUUAUAAUAUAUAUAUGUGUUUGUGUGAUCAUUAGCAUGAUUGAAUGUGAUUUUGCAGCUACAUAGAUUGCAUCUCUGUAUGAACUGCAUCUGUGCUGGCCUCUUAUUUCUUUAAAUGGUGUAUUGAGUGAUACAUGAUGUAAUGCAUGACAAGGUUAAAUGAUACUACAUUCUUGUAUGAUCAUAUGAUGUUUCUGCUGUUCUGCAUAUAUGCCAGUAGGUUUUAGCCUUCCGAGUGGGUUGCUAGUGUUUGUAUGGAGUUACUCUCAGUUACUAGAUUCUUGAGCUUCUCAGCAUAUUGGACUAAAGGUCUAAAAGAAUCUUUUUGACUUGCAUCACGUGUUGUUUCAAAUAAUUGAGUUAUCAGAGGUAUGAUAGUUAUAAUUAUAACAUUUGCUAUGGUUUUGUGCUCGUAAGAAGUCUGAUGAUUUGGAUCUAUAUUGGGGAAGACCAUUUGAGCCAUUAGGUGAUUUCUUAUAUAAUAUUAGGUUAUAUAACAGCUGAUCCUAAGUGGCUGUAGUUAUAAGCUGUGGAAUAAUUUAUAGUGAGGCAACAAAAGAAAAUAACUAGCGAGGGUGCUGAUGGUAAGCUUGGAAUAUUUCCAGAAGUCUGAAGGUAAUCAGUGAAUUCCUCUGUCGAACUUGCCUGCAGAGAGCUGGUAGGGUCAUUUCCUCAUUGGGGCAGAUUUGUCAAAGAUAAGGAUCCUUCAGCAGAAAAAUCCGUAUUUUAAGUAGUAAUGGUCAGGAGUUUUGCAAUUAAGAAGCACGUUAGGUUCAUGCGGAGGAAGCUGCUGAAUGGAAUGAUCCUGUUGGCCUGUUGCCUUUCACAUUAGUGUUAUAUAAAGCCCCUAACUGAAUAAGUUCUUUAGCAUAUGGUGCUUUUCUGGAAUAUAGUUGGCAGCGAUGAUUUUAGAAUUAACUAACUGGACAGUAAUGAACUGAGUACUUUCUUAUCUUGGAUACUUCUUUAUUGAGCAAUGAAUUUGCUUUGGUGUACCGAAACUAUUAUUUUACAUGCUUGUGUAAUUUGACAAACAACGAAAUGCAGAAUACUUUAUUCCUCAAUCGGGUGCAAUGCAUCAAAUUUUGUCUCCCUGUGAUUCUCUUGUAGUUGCAGUUUGACCCUGACAAUGAGCUGGUUUGUAUUUUCAAGCAGAUUUAUCUAACCCUUUGUGCAACAGUUUCAUUGUGAACUUCCAUGAUGGAAAUAUGGCAGUAUUUUGGCUUGUCAAGGUCCUGUGGUGAUAAAAGUUGAUGCUGAAAAUGUUUUGGUGCUUUAGUUAAGGCUUUAGAUGCAAUCCCUCGUUGAGCUACAUGAUAUACCAAUUCUCCUGUAUUAAAUCCUGCUCGAAAUGGAGGAUUGAAUUGCGUCCUUGAGUUUCUCAUAUUCCAUAGUUUGUCGAUUAUCUUGUUGCAGUUGUUAUGCAGACUGAAGGAUUUAACUACUUGGAGGAGACGUGCCCCUCGCUACUUUCAGACCUGUUGGCAACUGUCGCUGAGGCAGAUGAUGAGCCCAGUCUGAUCUGCCGGAAGAGGAGCAGCAGCAGCAACAUAGGGCUUAAUUUAGCUGACAGUGUUG